UACGAAGGGGGCUAGCGUUGUUCGGAAUUACUGGGCGUAAAGGGCGCGUAGGCGGCGACCCAAGUCAGAUGUGAAAGUCCUGGGCUUAACCUGGGGACUGCAUUUGAUACUGGGUUGCUUGAAUUCGGGAGAGGAUAGCGGAAUUCCCAGUGUAGAGGUGAAAUUCGUAGAUAUUGGGAAGAACACCGGUGGCGAAGGCGGCUAUCUGGGAAGAUACUGACGCUGAGACGCGAAAGCGUGGGGAGCAAACAGG
RNAcentral lists this ribosomal RNA (253 nucleotides) under uncultured bacterium. RNAcentral describes it as "partial 16S ribosomal RNA". It matches the Rfam family "Bacterial small subunit ribosomal RNA", at positions 524 to 776 of the family's 1533-position model. The record is from RNAcentral.